AUUGAACGCUGGCGGCAUGCCUUACACAUGCAAGUCGAACGGCAGCACGGGAGCUUGCUCCUGGUGGCGAGUGGCGAACGGGUGAGUAAUACAUCGGAACGUACCCUGAAGUGGGGGAUAACGUAGCGAAAGUUACGCUAAUACCGCAUAUUCUGUGAGCAGGAAAGAGGGGGAUCGCAAGACCUCUUGCUUUAGGAGCGGCCGAUGUCGGAUUAGCUAGUUGGUGAGGUAAAGGCUCACCAAGGCGACGAUCCGUAGCGGGUCUGAGAGGAUGAUCCGCCACACUGGGACUGAGACACGGCCCAGACUCCUACGGGAGGCAGCAGUAGGGAAUUUUGGACAAUGGGCGCAAGCCUGAUCCAGCCAUGCCGCGUGAGUGAAGAAGGCCUCGG
This 392-nucleotide ribosomal RNA is filed under the name uncultured bacterium. Its description in RNAcentral is "bacterial SSU rRNA". It matches the Rfam family "Bacterial small subunit ribosomal RNA", at positions 30 to 420 of the family's 1533-position model. The record is from RNAcentral.